GGGGGUGUAGCUCAUAUGGUAGAGUGCUAGCUUCACAUGCGAGACGCACGGGGUUUGAUUGCCUGCACCUCCA
RNAcentral lists this transfer RNA (73 nucleotides) under Ipomoea nil (Japanese morning glory). It matches the Rfam family "tRNA". From Rfam's summary of the family: Transfer RNA (tRNA) molecules are approximately 80 nucleotides in length. The record is from Rfam by way of RNAcentral. Lineage: Eukaryota; Viridiplantae; Streptophyta; Magnoliopsida; Solanales; Convolvulaceae.